AGUCAACAUGCCCAGGGGACGUGGAUAACCUCGGGAAACUGAGGAUAAACCGCGAUAGGUCAUCACUUCUGGAAUGGGUAAUGACUUAAAUCUAUAUGGCCCCUGGAUUGGACUGCGGCCGAUCAGGCUGUUGGUGAGGUAAUGGCCCACCAAGCCUGUAACCGGUACGGGCUCUGAGAGGAGGAGCCCGGAGAUGGGCACUGAGACAAGGGCCCAGGCCCUAUGGGGCGCAGCAGGCGCGAAACCUCUGCAAUAGGCGAAAGCUUGACAGGGUUACUCUGAGUGAUUUCCGUUAAGGAGAUCUUUUGGCACCUCUAAAAAUGGUGCAGAAUAAGGGGUGGGCAAGUCUGGUGUCAGCCGCCGCGGUAAUACCAGCACCCCGAGUGGUCGGGACGUUUAUUGGGCCUAAAGCAUCCGUAGCCGGUUCUACAAGUCUUCCGUUAAAUCCACCUGCUUAACAGAUGGGCUGCGGAAGAUACUAUAGAGCUAGGAGGCGGGAGAGGCAAGCGGUACUCGAUGGGUAGGGGUAAAAUCCGUUGAUCCAUUGAAGACCACCAGUGGCGAAGGCGGCUUGCCAGAACGCGCUCGACGGUGAGGGAUGAAAGCUGGGGGAGCAAACCGGAUUAGAUACCCGGGUAGUCCCAGCUGUAAACGAUGCAGACUCGGUGAUGAGUUGGCUUAUUGCUAACUCAGUGCCGCAGGGAAGCCGUUAAGUUUGCCGCCUGGGGAGUACGGUCGCAAGACUGAAACUUAAAGGAAUUGGCGGGGGAGCACCACAAGGGGUGAAGCCUGCGGUUCAAUUGGAGUCAACGCCGGAAAUCUUACCGGGGGCGACAGCAGAGUGAAGGUCAAGCUGAAGACUUUACCAGACAAGCUGAGAGGAGGUGCAUGGCCGUCGCCAGCUCGUGCCGUGAGGUGUCCUGUUAAGUCAGGUAACGAGCGAGAUCCCUGCCUCUAGUUGCUACCAUUAUUCUCAGGAGUAGUGGAGCUAAUUAGAGGGACCGCCGUCGCUGAGACGGAGGAAGGUGGGGGCUACGGCAGGUCAGUAUGCCCCGAAACCCUCGGGCCACACGCGGGCUGCAAUGGUAAGGACAAUGAGUUUCGAUUCCGAAAGGAGGAGGCAAUCUCUAAACCUUACCACAGUUAUGAUUGAGGGCUGAAACUCGCCCUCAUGAAUAUGGAAUCCCUAGUAACCGCGUGUCACUAUCGCGCGGUGAAUACGUCCCUGCUCCUUGCACACACCGCCCGUCGCUUCAUCGAAGUUGGUUCUUGGCGAGGUGGUGCCUAAUUGGUACUAUCGAACCUGGGGUCAGCAACGAGGGAGAAGUCGUAACAAGGUGGCCGUAGGGGAACCUGCGGCCGGAUCACCUCCUUAGUUAUUAUAUUGUAGUAGUGUUAGUGGGUUAGAAUGGGCCUUGUGCUCUUUCUAAUCUGCGAGACUUUACAAUACUUUUAUACUAAUAAAAUAAAUAAAUCCCUAAAAGGGAGUGCAAUCAAAUCAAAACUGAUCAAUCAAUUCCUUCAUUUUUCAUACGGUUUGAAAAAUUAGAGGUGUAUGUGGAAAUUUUGAUAAAUUGAUACAAAGAAAAGGAUUAGAAAGGAAGUAAUCAGUAGCAUAAAACGCUACUGUAAUUUCAGUCAGGUGACAAAACGUCUGUGCAAAUAAUUGACGGGCUAUUCUUUUAGAGAAAUUAAAAUAAGUUGAUUAUUGAAAUAUUAGAAUAUAAUUAGUCUAUCUGAUCAUUCCAAUUAAAAUCAGCAAAUGCAGUAUCGGAUGCAAUUCUUUGUCUCAUGUAAAUGAGUAGGAGUAGAAGAUAAAGAAUGAAGUUGAUGUAGUAGACGUGAGUUUACAAUGAUCAUCAUGUAUAGGAAAACUCUAAUUGAAAAGGAUAUCAACAACGUGUAGUAACACAUUAUCACAGAUUUCAAAAUAUACUAUAUUCGCGUAAUAACAAUACAGUCAUCAGAAUGAUUAUUGAUUGUAAUAGUGCGACGUGUGUUAUAGUUGUAGGUAAACAGCAAAUAACCUUUUAUAAAUAUGAAAUACCAUUGAAUUGAAUUAGACUUUUCUACCACAAGUGGAACUAAGAACUAACUAGAUCCAAAGGACAAAGAAAGAAAGGAAAAAAAUAAACUCCAAAAAUAAGUUUUUUAUAACUACUGGACUGGUGCAAAGACGCCGAUUGGUGGAUG
This 2193-nucleotide ribosomal RNA is filed under the name uncultured crenarchaeote. RNAcentral describes it as "bacterial SSU rRNA". The stretch from base 1 to 1373 matches the Rfam family "Archaeal small subunit ribosomal RNA". Lineage: Archaea; Thermoproteati; Thermoproteota. The record is from RNAcentral.